UUUAAGUAAUCAAAUUUAUUUCUUAUACAAAAAAUUCUGAAAUACAAAAUGUUCUGAAAGAAAAAAAUUAAAUUAUUUAGGAUAAAAUUCAUUUUAAUGCGCAAUAAUUGAACUUCGGUCAAAACAAUUUGUUCAUGUGAAAUUUAAACUCACACCCAUAGAAGCAGAUAUGUAUUUAGUCUCAGUAAUUACCAUCAAUAAAUAACAUACAAGCUCAACGGCAACGGAUCUGAGCUUAAUUGAAUCCUUACAUUCCACAAAAUGAAUAUGAAAAGGAUUGACCAAUAUUUGCGUUUAUUUAUAGAUCUAUUUUAUUAAUGCUAAAUAUGACGUCAACGUAAAUAUGGCUUUUUUCGCGUGAUAAAGAAAUUACACCGAAGGUAUUGGCCAUAUUAUGUAAUUAUGCAACGCGAGCAUGUAAAAGUGCUGAGUGCACAUUUGAGCGCUCUCAGAAAUUUGUUUAGUUUAAUGAACUUAAUGCCAAAAAAUCAAGAUAUUUGUAUGUCCGGAUAUGGGGGGUGUGCUCAAAAAAUUUGGUGAAGUGUCCAUCGCUCAAACUAAACUGAAUCAACUAAUCUCAAAGCAGUCAAAAAAGCUUUUUUAGUACGAAAUGGCACCUUUCUAACGCCAUCCAGCGGAACCCGAUCGAACUUUUACAGCUCGAGAUACGGAUAAAUAGCGCAAUCUUAUUUGAAAAAUAACUGCACAUAAUAUAUGUAAAUUACGCUCACUUCCUCAACAGACCACGUAUGACAAACUGAUUGUGUUCUCGUAAGACCGGAGGCUAAUAUAAUAGCAGACCAACAAUUGUGAUGGACGGAAAUCAAGAUGAAAAUUAUUGGCUCCUUGUGAAAUGUACUACAGCGGCAAAAUAUAAGAGCGCAAAUUUUGUGUCGGUUUCGUGGUGGGAGAGGGACUUAGUCACUGAACCUGAGAUUCACCCUGAUGAAGCCUCGCCCUACAUCAAAAAGAAAGUCUUCAACAUGACUUGGGCUCACACCCCGACGGCUGUCAACUACGAUGUGACCAAAGACUCUUUCGCUAAAAAAGAGAAAGGGGACUUUACUUUUGAACUGUCCACUCAGCCCAAAGUGGAACCUGCAGGCAUGAUUGUUUCUACGCUGGAUUUCAAAGCUGACAUUAUUUUUGUUCUUGAUGUCUACGACAUCAAAAUUGAUGUAUAUCAAAUUCAGACAUAGCGGCGGAGAGGCAGCUUCUUACUGUAUUGUCGAAGGCAGCUGUAAAAUCGGGACUACCUUCCAGAGACUUACAAUCCAAACGACUCAUUUUCAAUAAGCAAUACUAUAUAUUUUCCCAAAAAAAAUUGCGAAAAUUUCAACUAAAUUCAUUAUCUAUUGAUUUCUAUGAGUGUAAUUUCGACACAAGCAAAAAUACAAAAUUCAAAUUGUGCAUAGCAAAAAGA
Ceratitis capitata (Mediterranean fruit fly) is the source of this 1423-nucleotide long non-coding RNA. RefSeq lists it as uncharacterized. The record is from RefSeq and is a predicted model, not a curated record. The transcript is spliced from 6 exons. Lineage: Eukaryota; Metazoa; Arthropoda; Insecta; Diptera; Tephritidae.